UCAGCAGUAUACUCCCACCCUUUUAUUUAUCUUCCUCGGUUCGAUGUCGCCCCUCCAUCAUCCUCCCUCCAGUCUUUCACGAGCAGUGCUCCGAGUCAUAUCGUUGACAGUGCUCGCCAUAGCAUACUGUCUUUCUCUCGUCACCUUUCUUUUUUCUUAUAUAUUUUUUUUUUUUUCUUAUUUUAGUCAUUCAAUAAACUUUUUUUGACAUUUGUCAAAAACAUCUUAUUACAACAAAUGCGUCAUAUUAUAUCGUGAAAGAGAAAAGUGUUUUUCAUCGUCUCCUUUCAACGAUGGAACAUAUAAAUCCAUCGCGAUCGUCGAACGAUAAUUACAACUAGUGUUAUUUUGUUCUCCUGUGGAGUUUUAUUGUGAAUUAUUGAAUAAUGUCGUGUCGCGAGAUUUAAUAUAUGAUUUCUCUUUUUUUGGUGCGAUAAUAUGUCGAGGGUCGUACGAUGACCUAACGUCCGUCCAGCGACAGCCUCUUCGUAUCGGUCAUUGGACAGAUGUUGAAUCUGAAUGCUCAAAACUUGGUUUGCAACAUUGGCAGCAUGGUUUUCGGCAGCAAUAAAUUUCGUAUACGAAGGAAAGAGUCUGCCUGUUGUUUUUAAAUACACCGACCAGCGAAGGUUAUGACAGCGAUAAAUUUCGAAUACAAAUGUAUGUACGUACUAAGAUUUCUAUGAUCGUUGCAACCUGGAUAUGAAUAUUAAUUAUGCGUUUGUUGUGCGGUUUUAAAUAAACGACCUGUGGAUUAAAUUUAGUAAUAAUUAAAUUUUAUAUUUAUUAUGAGGUUGUCGCCAUGAUGUUUUCAGUAAAAAAAAAAAUGGAAGAAGAAGAUCAAUAAAAGCGUAAUAUACUCGUUAGAGAAAAAGAAAGAAAAUAUUUCGCAAAAAAUAUUUUUUUACUUUUAUCAAAAGUAUUGCAAAAACGUAUUUUAUGGUUUUUUCUUUUUUUUUUUUUAUUGGUACGAAAGAAGUAAUGAUGUAAUACCGACAAAUCCAUUAUUCAUAAGUGCGUUCGACGGGUAAUUUACUAUAUAUCUCGAAGGUAUUAUCCUUAUCACGAACGAUUUCGUUAGGUUUGUGGUAGUGCACGUAAGCGGGUUUCAGGUUUCAAGCACUUGCUUGGCUUUGGCGUCGUGCCUAAUCGAUACUGUCCGAUUUCCCCUUGACGACCAUCCACCGUAACAGUCGAAAAUUUUACAGUCGAGUUCUAUCGAUUCCGAGACUCGUUGUUUUUCGCAUAAAAUCUCUUUUAACUUUGUACUUGAAUCGAUCGGAGGUCAACGAUCUCCCUGUCUUAAUUCAAUAAUAAUAUCUAAAGGAAAGAUUAUUUAUGAUCAUCGACAAUCGUCAUUUUUUACAUGUUCCAACAUGUGUAGUUACCUGGUUUAUAAAAUAUUUACAGAUAAACUAAGGAAUAUCUGUUAUCGCAAGAGCAUCGCUCGAAAGAAUAUUUAUUGGAGAAUGUUUGUUUCUUUGUUUACACAAAAUAAAUAGAUAAUUUUCGAUAUUAUCGGCUUAUCGGAAUCCAAUCGAUAAGCAAAAAUACUCUAGACGACCGCUUGAGUAAGUUUCCAAUACACGUGAUUUUCUUUAAGUUUCAUUGGAAAAGAAGAGAAAAAAGAAAAAAGAAAAAGGAACAAAAAAACAAUCUUGUAUGCUUUUAAGAAUUCUUUAUUUCUUCCGCUAACACAUAUACAUGAACACACCCAAAGAAAGAUAUAAAACACGUGUCGGUUUACCCGAUCUAAGAACUAACCGAGCGAGCAAAGCCUGGGAACUAUUCGCUCGACACGACCGCAAGAAACAGAAAGAGCAGCUAAGCAAAGCGAUUGUAGCCAUCUUUGUCUCUCUCUCUCUCUCUCCCCCCCCCUCCCAUCUUCUCUUUUUCACUCUUCGUUUUCCUUCUACGUUUCAGACCGUUCUCCGAUCGAUAUCCUUUUCAGCGCAAGGACGCCUUUAUUUAUCGAACAACGAUCGAGAUUCAUUGAGUUUAAGAGAACUCCCUCGAUCUUAAAUCUAAAACGUUUCGAACGGAACGAGAAUGAUUCGAUUCGAUUCGAUCCAAAGUUCGUUCGUCAAACAUUCGGGACAUUGAACCUAUUAAAUUGGAGUUUUUGAAUCGCUUCACACGAGCCGAGAUCAUUUUUCGCGAGUACUCACGUAAUUCGCUCAUUCAUUUUUUGCUAUAUUUCGACUGAAAAAACAUUUGGCCGUUCGGUAUUCGCCAUCCUGUUAUCCUUAAUUGGAUAACACGUGGCGUAUAACUCGUACCGUACUAAUUAUAUCGAAAUUAUAGCAAAAGCUAUCGGUAUGUUAUUAUACGAUUAACCGGCAAAUAAUUUAAGUACCUAGUACUGCUCGAUAUCUCGAAAGCAAAACUACGUCCGUUUCAUGGCAAAUCGGGUAUCAUGGCAAUAGUCGAUUCGAAAUAUCUCGAAACAUGCUUUCGAUCGUUUCUUUUUCAUAUAUUUUUUUCUUCUAUUUUCUCUUUUUUCUUCUCUUUUUUUUUUUUUGUUUUUUUUUGUUUUUUUUUUCACUUCGGUCAAGAAAAUCUAGGCGUACAUUUAAUAUUGGUUCGAGACCUUGCAAAGAAUAAAAAGAGAGAGAGAGUGCGAGAGAAAAAGAGAGAUAGAGAUAUAGAUAGAGAUAGUGAUAGGUGCGCGUAUCUACUUGACGGCACGUAAUUUCGUACUCGGCGAUAUUAGUAACGACGAUCUUUCACUCGGCCAAGCCGAGCAGUAAUAUCAUCGACGUUCAAUUAGCGAGACUCCAAGCCCUAAUUGCGCUCACCUCGGACGGAUUAACAGGUACCUCGUAGUAUAUCGAUACCACCGUCUACCUCAAUCGAUCGUCUCCGGCAUUACAUUCGACGUGCUUAUCUUCCUUCCUGUCGUUGAAUCUCUUUGAAACUCCCCAUUCCCGAGAGAAGCGAAAAGUUUUCCAGAGUAGAUCUUGUAUCCUCUCUCUUUUUCUCUCUCUCUCUCUCUCUCUAUCUCUAUCUAUCUCUCUCUCUCUCUCUCUCUCUCUCUCUCUCUCUCUCUCGUCUAGGCACGCUUUCGGAUCGGCCUCGGGGUGAAAGGUAAUGAGCCGGCACGAUAAUCUCGCUUAGAAAGAGGAGAUACGUCUCGAUACACCGACUUUGUUUUCUACGAUGAAACGGAUGGGCUCGUUUGUCGUACGUCAAACCCCGGCUUAUCGAAAUAAGUAUUUCAGUUUUCGUUUUAUCCCCUUUUUGACUGAUUUUCUAUCUACCGUGUAUGACGAUACUCUGUUAUAAUGUUACAACUUAAUAAUCCUUAGAGAUUUUCAAUGUCUUACUUUUAUCCCAUUUAUUACUUCCUUAUCUUCUUUUUCAUUUUUGCUUUUGUUUUUCUCUUAUUUUUGUCUUUUCUUUUUUCUUUCACGUUCACUUCAUUGAAUUUCUAAACAUACAAUCCGAAGUCUCGUAGUUACAGAAAAAGAAAUAAUCAUUUUAUUAAGUUUUCUUUAAACCAUUAAAAGUCUUCUAGUCAAAUCAUUUUUCUUAUUUCGAUUUUUGUUUCUUUUUGAUUGGACGAUGUCAGCAAGAAUCGUAUAGAAAGCGAUGAUACUGCAACAGUCUUAUUAUAGAAUGGAUCGGAAGUUUUUAGAUCAUUUUAAAAGUUAAUUACUCUUUUUCGAGAAUUUUUAAUUAUAAAUUUUCUUUUUCACUAGACGUCUAGCUUAUAAAACUACAUGCUUAAUUAAAAGCCUAAAAAUGUUUCGAAAAAUAGUAAUUGAUUUUUAAAAUCACUUAAGAAAUAUUGGUCUAUCGUGACAUUGAUUUAUCCUGUAUAUAUUAAACGAACAUUCUGUACACAAAUCAAAAUAAAUAUAUAUCUUCUCAAUUCUAAGUCUCUCUCUCUCUCUCUCUCGUAUUUUAGAAUUUGUUUAUAUCUAUCGAUGACCGUCGUCGCAUAACAGCUCAACGAUCUGGAUCGAAAAUCGAACGUUUAUUUCUCGAGAGGAGUCUCGUUUUUACCACUCCAGACGCGUAUAGAAAGGAGCCAUGCGUUCUACAUUCGCGUCGCCACGUUCGAGUGUGUUAGUAACCUCGUGUUCUUUACUCAUGGACCCGUUUGUUCUCCGAAGAAGAGUUUACGUUCGAGCGUGCAAAGUCGUGUAAAUCUUUCUACGUAAGCAAAGCCUUCGUACCAACGUUAAUGAUCGUUACGGCAUCUUUUCCUUUUUUUUUGUUUUUUUUUUUUUUUUUUUCUUUAUUUCUUUCCCUUUAUUUUAUUUUAUUUCUGUUCUUUUCUUUUUUUUUUUCUUUUUCAAUAACAUCGCAAUGGCAUCGAACUCAUAGCUCUACAUUAAUUUUCUCUCGAUAGACGUCUUCCUCGUAUACAUCGCAAACUUCAAAUAAACUUGUUGGAUUUUUAUCCAAUUGACGUCGGUCUUGAUUAACCUUCUAUGAACCAGUUUUUCUUUUCUUUUUUUUUUUUUUCUUUUCCUUAUGUCUACAAAAAUAUUACAGAUACAAUGUGAAAGUCUUAGUAUUAUAUUUGUACUGGCAUAAUUAUACCGUAUUAAAUAUGGUUUAUACUUAGAAAAUAAGAAAGAAAGAAAGAAAAAGAAACAUGAUGAACUUCGGAUAUGAAACAAUAAUUAAGUUUUUCUCGAUAGAAUGAAAUGAAACUUUUAAAAAUACAGAAAUGUACCGUUUACGGCUUCACAGUUGCAUGGUGUUAUACAGAGGAGGAUUAACAUAUAUUUUAUUCGAAAUAAAAUAUAUAUAAUUACACGUUAGUUGAUAUAUAAGGAAAGUUGAAGAGGAAACAAAACUAAAUCUUUCUCGACGCUCACUGGUCGAUUGUACAGUUACGACUUAACUUUGACUGACUCUCUAAACAAACUCUAAAUAAAUUAUAGGAGCAACAAAAACAUAAACUACUCAUAUCGCCACGCGACAAUCUACCAUAGACAUAUUUGUCUGAAUAUUUUCUGAAUAAAACUCACGAUCUCUUCGGAUAAGCUGGUAGGUAAUACGGUAUGGCAAUAAAAUUCAUAAAUCAACGUUCGAGGCUUUCACUGGGAACAACGACGGCGCUACAACGAAUACCAUUAUUUUUUCUUUUCCUCUUUUUUUUUCUUUUUUUUUUUUUUCAAACAAAGAAACAAAAAGCUCGGAGAAAAUUAAAAAAGUAAUUAUUUUUAAUGAUACUCGCCUCGUGCAUAUUUAUCUCGCGACAAAGAAGAGAACUUGAUAAAUUGUUAAAAAAGAAAAGAGAAAAAAACGUCAUCAUGACGAUGCGUUACUACUUUAAAUGAUAUAACGUCGUAUAGCGAUCAUAUAACAUAUUUUUCUAUUCAUGAUUGUCAUAACUACGGGAAUCGUAUGUUCAUAUCAUAAAAUAUCUCUUUUAGUUCGAACGUAAAAAUCAUCGACGUGUUUUAAAAAGCCGCGCAAAGCAACAACGUGUCCUCUUUGCUUAGGGAGGAAGCGAAAUCGAUUCGCGAGAACGAAACGAACGAUGCGUAUUUCCGCGCGAUAAAGACGUUCCACGAUUUACGGCGAGACGAGUCCGUCGUCCUAUGACUUUCCGCUUGAUUUAUGGUGCCUUUCAAAAGGGGCUCUCCUAGUGCUCGUGAGCCACGAAAGAGAAAGAGAGAGAGAGAGAGAGAGAGAGAGACAGUCGAUUCGGUGGCGAGAUCGUUCGUGCCGGAAAAGUCGACGUUUCGAAUUCCCUUCCGUAGAGAGAAAGCAAGUUUCACGGACGAAAACAUCGAGAGACGAUACUAAUUAUAAGUUCGCUUAACAAUUUUUUCUCAUUUUUAAUAUUUUUUCUAUUACUUACGGGAGAGUUGCAAAAAUCGUAACACUUAUGUUUUCUUAUUCUAUAUAAAAUUUUACGGUAUUCAAUAUUAGAAAUUGUAAUAGUAGCUUGAUUAAAGACACCUGCUAUAUAAAUAUACAUGUUCGAUAUUAUUAAAAAAGAACUAAUUUAGUGGAACUAAGUACAAUAGUGUAAGACGUGCAAUCAAUCAGUAUUGUAAAAAUUAAAUGUAAUAAGUUUGUGAAUGAAAAUAUCAAUAAAAAUAAGA
Molecule: long non-coding RNA, 6071 nt
Organism: Vespa crabro (European hornet)
Lineage: Eukaryota; Metazoa; Arthropoda; Insecta; Hymenoptera; Vespidae
Exons: 3
Source: RefSeq, a predicted model, not a curated record